RNAcentral lists this unclassified non-coding RNA (400 nucleotides) under soil metagenome. Its description in RNAcentral is "partial contains 5.8S ribosomal RNA, internal transcribed spacer 2, and large subunit ribosomal RNA". The stretch from base 1 to 122 matches the Rfam family "5.8S ribosomal RNA", at positions 35 to 154 of the family's 154-position model. The record is from RNAcentral.
GAUGAAGAACGUAGCAAAAUGCGAUACUUGGUGUGAAUUGCAGAAUCCCGUGAACCAUCGAGUCUUUGAACGCAAGUUGCGCCUCAAGCCAUUAGGUUGAGGGCACGUCUGCCUGGGCGUCACAUAUCGUUGCCUGAUGCCAGUUUCCUCGUGAUGGGUGACUGUGCAGGGCGAAUGAUGGCUUCCCGUGAGCAUUGUUGCCUCAUGGUUGGUUGAAAAUUGAGUCCUUGGUAGGGAGCGCCGUGAUAGAUGGUGGUUGAGUGACGAACGAGACCCAAUCAUGUGAGACCCCUACCGAAUUUGGCCUUCAUGACCCACAUGCGUCUUUGGAACGCUCAUGACGAGACCUCAGGUCAGGCGGGGCUACCCGCUGAGUUUAAGCAUAUCAAUAAGCGGAGGA